RNAcentral lists this ribosomal RNA (259 nucleotides) under uncultured prokaryote. Its description in RNAcentral is "partial 16S ribosomal RNA". It matches the Rfam family "Bacterial small subunit ribosomal RNA", at positions 524 to 782 of the family's 1533-position model. The record is from RNAcentral.
UACGUAGGUGGAGAGCGUUGUCCGGAUUUACUGGGCGUAAAGGGAGCGUAGGCGGACUUUUAAGUGAGAUGUGAAAUACCCGGGCUCAACUUGGGUGCUGCAUUUCAAACUGGAAGUCUAGAGUGCAGGAGAGGAGAAUGGAAUUCCUAGUGUAGCGGUGAAAUGCAUAGAUAUCACACAGAACACCGAUAGCGAAGGCAGGUUGCUAAUUCUCAACUGACGCUGAGGGACGAAAGCGUGGGGAGCAAACAGGAUUAGA